CUUGACCGAGCCGAGCAGCAGCGCACGGUCGCCAGAACGUUCCUGGCCGUACGUGGCCAGCAGCGCCUGAGCCUC
RNAcentral lists this antisense RNA (75 nucleotides) under Streptomyces leeuwenhoekii. RNAcentral's name for it is "ASpks sRNA". It matches the Rfam family "ASpks TB sRNA". Lineage: Bacteria; Bacillati; Actinomycetota; Actinomycetes; Kitasatosporales; Streptomycetaceae. The record is from RNAcentral.